This 429-nucleotide ribosomal RNA is filed under the name Bacteroidota bacterium. Its description in RNAcentral is "Bacteroidetes bacterium partial 16S ribosomal RNA". It matches the Rfam family "Bacterial small subunit ribosomal RNA", at positions 355 to 776 of the family's 1533-position model. Lineage: Bacteria; Pseudomonadati; Bacteroidota. The record is from RNAcentral.
UAGGGAAUCUUCCGCAAUGGACGCAAGUCUGACGGAGCAACGCCGCGUGAGUGAAGAAGGAUUUCGGUUCGUAAAACUCUGUUGUUAGAGAAGAACAGCGCAUAGAGUAACUGUUAUGCGUGUGACGGUAUCUAACCAGAAAGCCACGGCUAACUACGUGCCAGCAGCCGCGGUAAUACGUAGGUGGCAAGCGUUGUCCGGAUUUAUUGGGCGUAAAGCGAGCGCAGGCGGUACAUUAAGUCUGGUGUGAAAGCCCCCUGCUCAACAGGGUAGGGUCAUUGGAAACUGGUUGACUUGAGUGCAGAAGAGGAGAGUGGAAUUCCAUGUGUAGCGGUGAAAUGCGUAGAUAUAUGGAGGAACACCAGUGGCGAAGGCGACUCUCUGGUCUGUAACUGACGCUGAGGUUCGAAAGCGUGGGUAGCAAACAGG